GAUGCCAAUUCGACACAUAUUUUAGAAGAUGCUUCCCAUGUAGAUCAACAGGUGUCUCUCGGUCUCAUGAUCAGUCUCCAAAGGUGGUUGAGCCUGUCACAGCAUCUGGCCUCGGUUGGCGGAGGAGAGAACGAGUUGGAGAAGUUGGGCUGCUCCAUGCCUGUCCUAUGCGGGGAAGGACGAGAGUUUAGUCACUUGACGAAUGCCGUCGUUCGGUCCAUUUGGAAAUACGGCAAAGAUAUUGCUAAUGUCCCAGUGCAUGGACCUGUUCGGAACAUAUAGGGGUAUUCCAGAAAUCUGUAAAUUAUCAUCCAGCGAAAUUAAUAAAAAAUGA
This is a long non-coding RNA of Penaeus chinensis, 334 nucleotides long. RefSeq lists it as uncharacterized. The transcript has 3 exons. Lineage: Eukaryota; Metazoa; Arthropoda; Malacostraca; Decapoda; Penaeidae. The record is from RefSeq and is a predicted model, not a curated record.